AAAGAUUGAUGAUGUCAAUUAGACAUCUUAAGAAUAUGUAAACAUAAUAAAUUAAUGCGAUAAAAUUCAGGCAUCGACUGUUCUAGGGGUGUGCGCGGGUCAUAAUCUUACGGGUUUUAGUAAAAUUCAUCCUUGUCUCAUGGAUUUUCAACAGGUACGGGAUAGUCGAGUUUAUAAUAACGGGUUUAUAGCAACGUCCAACGUUCGUGUGUCGAAACACAAUGCAGCAAGAUGCAGAAUUCCUCACAAUCCCUUCAAUGUAAAUCAUUUAUUCAAAUUUCCAACAAAUCAAGAUUAAAACUUUUUGCAAACUACAAAAAAUAUUUAAUUAAUAAUGAUAUAAAAAAUAAAAUCAAAAAAAUCAGUUCCGACUUCCACGGGUAUGUGCCUCUGCACCGACUCCACGGUAGUUAGACCCAGGAUCCGCUGACGCCAACCAAAUCAUCCAAACGAGCUCGGCUCCCAAGCCGAGCCGCGCCCAGCCGUAAAUCCCCUUCCACUUAUCACAGCUCAUUUUAUACGCCAAAUAAACUUGCAUUUCCCUUGAAUUUGAGGUUCAUUUCAUUUGAUGACAAAAGCAAAAAAAAAAAGAAAGAAAACCUAACCACAGUCAAAUUGUAACCACAUGUUGAGACCCCAGUUUGUUUUUAUUUAAAGACACUGAAAUUGUGAAAGGGCCAGCUGGGUAGUAGUGAGACACUCUACUGAUCCUUCACCCAUCACCCCCCAACCCCAC
RNAcentral lists this long non-coding RNA (736 nucleotides) under Erythranthe guttata (spotted monkey flower). RNAcentral describes it as "long non-coding RNA (EGUT_LNC001435)". The record is from RNAcentral. Lineage: Eukaryota; Viridiplantae; Streptophyta; Magnoliopsida; Lamiales; Phrymaceae.